GAUGAAGAACGUAGCGAAAUGCGAUAACUAAUGUGAAUUGCAGAAUUCCGUGAAUCAUCGAGUCUUUGAACGCACAUUGCGCCCCCUGGUAUUCCGGGGGGCAUGCCUGUCCGAGCGUCAUUGCUGCCCAUCAAGCACGGCUUGUGUGUUGGGUCCUCGUCCCCCCCGGGGGACGUGCCCGAAAGGCAGCGGCGGCACCGCGUCCGGUCCUCGAGCGUAUGGGGCUUUGUCACCCGCUCUGCAGGCCCGGCCGGCGCUGGCCGACGCGAAAGCAACCAUUUUUUCUCCAGGUUGACCUCGGAUCUGGUAGGGAUACCCGCUGAACUUAAGCAUAUCAAUAAGCGGAGGA
RNAcentral lists this unclassified non-coding RNA (349 nucleotides) under soil metagenome. RNAcentral's name for it is "partial contains 5.8S ribosomal RNA, internal transcribed spacer 2, and large subunit ribosomal RNA". The stretch from base 1 to 120 matches the Rfam family "5.8S ribosomal RNA", at positions 35 to 154 of the family's 154-position model. The record is from RNAcentral.